AGGACGCCUUUUGAAUAUUUCUGACCGAGAAGACCAGACAGUAGUCGAGGAACCUGACCAGCCUUCUCGCAAGAGAAGCCAGCCUUCUGGACGGUUCCAGUAGCAAGCGAAGGGAGCGGCGGACUUUAGACCAUUUCCAUCUGCCAAGACUGCCACAAGGUCAUUUACGAAGGCUCCAGCCGAACCGAGGAGACCUCCAUCGCUUGUCCAAGCGGCUAAGCGAUCGUUACAAAGAACGUGUGUACUGCAUUUGUCAAAGGUGCCGGAAAAGGGGACAGUGUUGUGAAGCGAACUGAGCACUGCGAAUUUUUGACGAAACAAGGGUGAACUCCACGAACGCAGCGUCAUCCGAAGCGGGAGCCCUUCAAUCCAAUUGCCCUGGACUCAAUGAUGAGCGGAUGUACCGAAUCCGCUUGACGUGGCCCCAAAAACGCGCUGCGAAUAUUGACGACCGCACAUUUCUUCACUGAUUUUAAAGCAAGACUUCCCUUUCCACCUUCGUUUCUUACGUCCGGCUAUACAUGACUGACUAGAGUAUCUAAAUUACUGCCAUUUUAUUAAAAAGCGCGAUUACGUGAAGGCUAUGAGUUAAUGUAUCCAAAACCAAAGAGCGCUCGCUGCACAAGUGACCUUUCUAGUCCACAAAAUUCAGUGGUUUGAGGUCCGUGCUGUUAAGCUUUCUGCUCAGUGUUCUUAUGUUUCUGACGUGUUUCUUGUGAAAUAAAUUUGAUGAAUUUACCUGUA
Long non-coding RNA from Dermacentor andersoni, 744 nucleotides. RefSeq lists it as uncharacterized. NCBI's taxonomy places the organism in Eukaryota, Metazoa, Arthropoda, Arachnida, Ixodida, Ixodidae. The record is from RefSeq and is a predicted model, not a curated record.